GGGGCCAGGGUUGGAUCCCUCCUUACAAAGCCUUUGAAUGUUGAGUGGCCCCCCCAUUGUCUGAUUAAAAAUAAUAAUUAUGAGAACCCCUUCUUAUGAGGGGAGCAGGCCUGGUUUCUGGACACCCCUGAUAAGGUUGAGGUUGGCGGUAAAUUACCGCCUUUGCAUACAAAAAGCUUAUCAAUGCUUUGCUGAGAAAUUACUCUGAUCCCAUAGUCUGCAAGCCCAGUGCACUCCCCUUUCGCGAAAGAAAUAUGUGCUCUAAUCCCCGUGGGAACAUGAUUCCGAUUGGCUGGAACGAGGUUAUAACUCACCUGGUUGAGCGAAGCUUCCCAUUCGGAGGUCUGCGGUAAUUCCAAAUCUUCUACUGUAUAAAAACUACAAAGCGUAUUGGUAACAAAAUUCCGUGAAUAAUUCCUCUCUUUAACAACCUGGAACAAGCUCAAAUUUCCAACUAGGCGGGUAAACAGAUUUCUCCGUGUAGUACUGUACUUUGACAUGGCCGCCUUAUAGCCUCCUCAUUUCUCCUCGCGAACGUGACUUGAUGUCUCAAAGACACCUUCGUGUUGUGAGGCUAUCCGACUAAUUUAUCCGGUGGACGCCUCGGCACCUUAUUUUCUUUUCUU
RNAcentral lists this unclassified non-coding RNA (626 nucleotides) under Brenneria goodwinii. RNAcentral's name for it is "partial may contain 16S ribosomal RNA, 16S-23S ribosomal RNA intergenic spacer, and 23S ribosomal RNA". The record is from RNAcentral. Lineage: Bacteria; Pseudomonadati; Pseudomonadota; Gammaproteobacteria; Enterobacterales; Pectobacteriaceae.